GUGCCAGCAGCCGCGGUAAUACGUAGGGUGCGAGCGUUAAUCGGAAUUACUGGGCGUAAAGCGUGCGCAGGCGGCGCCGCAAGUCGAGUGUGAAAUCCCCGAGCUUAACUUGGGAAUUGCGCUCGAAACUACGGUGCUGGAGUGUGGCAGAGGGAGGUGGAAUUCCACGUGUAGCGGUGAAAUGCGUAGAGAUGUGGAGGAACACCGAUGGCGAAGGCAGCCUCCUGGGCCAACACUGACGCUCAUGCACGAAAGCGUGGGGAGCAAACAGGAUUAGAUACCCCUGUAGUCC
This 292-nucleotide ribosomal RNA is filed under the name uncultured bacterium. RNAcentral's name for it is "partial 16S ribosomal RNA". It matches the Rfam family "Bacterial small subunit ribosomal RNA", at positions 505 to 796 of the family's 1533-position model. The record is from RNAcentral.